AUUUUUUGUCACUUUCUACUUUACAUAUUUAGCCACAUUUCCCUCUCCUUUCGAACAAUUUCAACAAAAUGGAUGCGAAAAUCGGAAAAUUCUUCGAUUCAAUCGGCGAUUUCUUCACCGGCGGAGAUCAAAUUCCUUGGUGCGACUCUGAUAUAGUCGCUGGUUGUGAACGUGAAGUUGCUGAGGCAGGAAAAGGUUCCUCUGAUGAACUGAAAAAUGAAUGCAUCAUGCGUCUAUCAUGGGCUCUUGUUCACUCAAGACGUCCAGAAGAUGUACAACGUGGAAUAGCAAUGCUUGAAACUUCUCUGGGUGGCAGUAAUAGUCCCCUGCAAAUGAGGGAAAAGAUUUAUCUUCUGGCCGUUGGCUACUACAGAAGCGGGGACUAUGCAAGAAGCAGGCAGCUUGUUGAUCGUUGUUUGGAGAUUGAACCGGAGUGGAGACAGGCCUUGACCCUCCGGAAAACUGUUGAAGAUAAAAUUAAAAAAGAUGGAGUAAUUGGCAUUGGCAUUGCUGCUACUGCUGUAACUGCUGUUGGACUCCUGGCUGGUGGACUUGUAGCGGCUUUGUCUCGCAAGAAAUGAUCCAUCAGUAAAAUCACUAACAUGCAUAUGAUACUUCGUCACUCUGGUUCGUGUAUACAUCUGAGGCUAUCAACUCCUAUUCGCUAGCACUUAGUUUCGAUACUUAUCUUUCUUUGUUUGAAACACUGACAUACUGCAACUGAAGCAAAAUGAUGUAUGUUGGCUUUGCUUGACUUGAUUGUCUAGUUUAUAUGUGAAAAAACAACAGUGACUUGUCGAUGUUGUUGUUAAUCGUAGCAGAAAGUUA
This 828-nucleotide unclassified non-coding RNA is filed under the name Hevea brasiliensis (rubber tree). The record is from RNAcentral. Lineage: Eukaryota; Viridiplantae; Streptophyta; Magnoliopsida; Malpighiales; Euphorbiaceae.